GAUAAAGAGAGGAGUCAAACCCCUGUUAAUAGGACUACAGCCUACCGCCUAACAAUCGGCCACUUUACC
RNAcentral lists this transfer RNA (69 nucleotides) under Anolis fraseri. RNAcentral's name for it is "tRNA-Tyr". Lineage: Eukaryota; Metazoa; Chordata; Lepidosauria; Squamata; Anolidae. The record is from RNAcentral.